This 255-nucleotide long non-coding RNA is filed under the name Gossypium raimondii (Peruvian cotton). Its description in RNAcentral is "long non-coding RNA (GRAI_LNC010842)". Lineage: Eukaryota; Viridiplantae; Streptophyta; Magnoliopsida; Malvales; Malvaceae. The record is from RNAcentral.
AAUGCGGCGGUGGCAAUGGAGAGGUGGUGGUGAGGUGGAGGUGUGACGGCCUUAUGUGGUGGUGGAGUGAGGGAUAAAUGAGAAGAAAAGGGUGAUUUAGAUGUUGAAAUGGAAGAAAAAAGAGAGAAAAAGGGGGAAGAGCAAGGUGGUAGACGACAAAGAAAGGGGAGGAGAGAAAAAUGAAAAUAAAAAUAAAAAGUGAAUUGGACAUGUCUAGGUGCAUGGCCAGCCAAGGUAAGGUAAGGGAGGAAAUUU